Molecule: transfer RNA, 71 nt
Filed under: Marmota monax (woodchuck)
Lineage: Eukaryota; Metazoa; Chordata; Mammalia; Rodentia; Sciuridae
Description: tRNA.Ile
Source: RNAcentral
GGGGUUGUGGCUCAGAGGUAGAGCGCUCGCCUAAUAUGAGUGAGGCACUGGGUUUGAUCCUCAGCACCACA